RNAcentral lists this ribosomal RNA (301 nucleotides) under uncultured bacterium. RNAcentral describes it as "partial 16S ribosomal RNA". It matches the Rfam family "Bacterial small subunit ribosomal RNA", at positions 509 to 807 of the family's 1533-position model. The record is from RNAcentral.
CAGCAGCCACGGUAAUACGAAGGGGGCUAGCGUUGUUCGGAUUUACUGGGCGUAAAGCGCACGUAGGCGGAUCGAUCAGUCAGGGGUGAAACCCUGGAGCUCAACUCCAGAACUGCCUUUGAUACUGUCGAUCUCGAGUCCGGAAGAGGUGAGUGGAACUCCUAGUGUAGAGGUGGAAUUCGUAGAUAUUAGGAAGAACACCAGUGGCGAAGGCGGCUCACUGGUCCGGUACUGACGCUGAGGUGCGAAAGCGUGGGGAGCAAACAGGAUUAGAUACCCGCGUAGUCCCUGUCUCUUAUAC